Molecule: long non-coding RNA, 555 nt
Filed under: Hordeum vulgare
Lineage: Eukaryota; Viridiplantae; Streptophyta; Magnoliopsida; Poales; Poaceae
Description: long non-coding RNA (HVUL_LNC020544)
Source: RNAcentral
UGGCUAUACUAUUAACCACGCUCUUAGGCCACCCUUUGGCCAAAGGGUCCACUAGAAAGUCAAUGAAUGUAGGCCAUUAACCGGGCGCCAGGCUCCAUCACGAACACAAAGAACAAUAACCAACACCUCUUCUUUUGUCUCACACCUUUCUCUAGUCCCAUCACCAUGAUGGCAACUCAAGAUUUGGACAAGGAGUAAGUAAUUCUCCAGAUCAAGAACAUAUGUGAGAUUAUUAGAGGAUGUUGGCCCAAACCCCGUCACUGAGUACUUUCCAACGACACGUCACGACCGACGACGAACGAAGCAACGUUGGUUGACUUGGUUCCUCCCCCAAGUCGGCUCGACGCGCACGUAGCAAGCUAGCGCCACAUGCCCCCUGAUCGAUUCUUUUGAUACAGAGACGUACCAGUACUAACUGGACUACGGCUGAAGCUAGCCUAGGUAAACGAUCAGGUUGAUCGAUUCUUGCUAGUAGCUCACGUACGCGAAACACUCGAAACAAUAGUUUGCCACGGGCACGUAUCGUGUCCGAUGAAUAAUUUUAUUGCUUCCUCA